GCUUCGGCCCGUGGCAGAGCCGCGAACGGGUGAUUAACACGUGGGUAACCUACCCCGAUGACCGGGACAACCCGAGGAAACUCGGGCUAAUACCGGAUGUCCUGCACUCUCGUAAGGGAGUUCAGUAAAGAUAGCUUCGGCCUUCGCAUCGGGACGGGCCCGCGGCCCAUUAGCUUGUUGGUGGGGUAACGGCCUACCAAGGCGACGAUGGGUAGCUGGUCUGAGAGGACGAUCAGCCACACUGGGACUGAGACACGGCCCAGACUCCUACGGGAGGCAGCAGUGGGGAAUCUUGCGCAAUGCGCGAAAGCGUGACGCAGCAACGCCGCGUGGGGGAAGAAGGCCUUCGGGUUGUAAACCCCUUUCAGUUGGGACGAAGCUUCCAGGGUUAAUAGCCCUGUGGAGUGACGGUACCUUCAGAAGAAGCCCCGGCUAACUACGUGCCAGCAGCCGCGGUAAUACGUAGGGGGCUAGCGUUGUCCGGAAUCAUUGGGCGUAAAGCGCGUGUAGGCGGUCCGGUAAGUCCGCUGUGAAAGUCGGGGGCUCAACCCUCGGAUGCCGGUGGAUACUGUCGGGCUUGAGUACGGAAGAGGCGAGUGGAAUUCCUGGUGUAGCGGUGAAAUGCGCAGAUAUCAGGAGGAACACCAAUUGCGAAGGCAGCUCGCUGGGACGUUACUGACGCUGAGACGCGAAA
RNAcentral lists this ribosomal RNA (694 nucleotides) under Solirubrobacter sp. R110(2010). RNAcentral's name for it is "bacterial SSU rRNA". It matches the Rfam family "Bacterial small subunit ribosomal RNA", at positions 77 to 758 of the family's 1533-position model. Lineage: Bacteria; Bacillati; Actinomycetota; Thermoleophilia; Solirubrobacterales; Solirubrobacteraceae. The record is from RNAcentral.